GCCCCUAUAGCUCAGCUGGCAGAGCAUCUGAUUUGUAAUCAGGAGGUCGGGAGUUCAAGUCUCUCUGGGGGCACCA
Molecule: transfer RNA, 76 nt
Filed under: Paracoccaceae bacterium
Lineage: Bacteria; Pseudomonadati; Pseudomonadota; Alphaproteobacteria; Rhodobacterales; Paracoccaceae
Description: Rhodobacteraceae bacterium tRNA-Thr
Rfam family: tRNA
About the family: Transfer RNA (tRNA) molecules are approximately 80 nucleotides in length.
Source: RNAcentral